This 236-nucleotide ribosomal RNA is filed under the name uncultured Candidatus Saccharibacteria bacterium. RNAcentral's name for it is "partial 16S ribosomal RNA". It matches the Rfam family "Bacterial small subunit ribosomal RNA", at positions 584 to 818 of the family's 1533-position model. Lineage: Bacteria; Candidatus Saccharimonadota. The record is from RNAcentral.
UAAGCGAAUAGUGAAAUCUGACGGCUCAACCGUACAGACUGUUAUUCGAACUGGCAAACUCGAGAAUGGUAGAGGUAACUGGAAUUUCUGAAGUAGGGGUAAUAUCCGUAGAUAUCAGAAGGAACACCAAUGGCGUAGGCAGGUUACUGGACCAUUUCUGACACUGAGGCACGAAAGCGUGGGGAGCGAACCGGAUUAGAUACCCGGGUAGUCCACGCCGUAAACGAUGGAUACUA